CUGUGCCAUCCCACCACUCUCCCCAGGAGGAGGAUCUGUGUCUGAAAGCCUUAGCCUUGCUGGUCCUCGGCCUUCCAGAACAAUGAUGGGAGAGGCUGGCUGUCAGAAUGUGUGGUCAGAUGAUUCUUGAUGGCAUCUGAGAGUCCUUCCAGCUCGAGGAGUUUGGGAAAGAAACAUACACGAUCUGCCUUCCUUGUGCUUCCAGCCUCCUCUUUUACCCUCCACAAAACACAUGUCUUUCACAAGCUGCACCCCUCGAGCCCUGCUGUGGACAUUUGAAUGGUGGCCCAGAGGAGGGUGACUGGAUCUAAUGAAAGCUGAAGAGAAGCAAAUUAUUUGCGCUUCUCUCCAAUGAUGUUUAGGGACUUCGUGUGUGCAAAGCUGAUGAUGGAUGCACAUCAUGCCACCAGUGUGUGAUCAACUAAAAAUGAAGCGAGACAGAUAAUCCUCAAAGACACUAUGCUAAGUGAAAUCAACCAGCCCCAGAAGGACUAAGGCAUGGCGGGCCCUUGAACGGGAGGUCUGAGUCGUCAGUCUCAUGGAGAAGACAGCAGGAUGGUGGCUGCCAGGGAAUGGGGAGGGAACCCCACGAGGGCAUUACUGCUCCACAGGCAGAGUUUCUGUGCGGGCAGAUGGGAGCGUGCUGGAGAUGACGGGGGUGAUGUCACUCAAUCAUGUGAUCGUUCUUAAUGCCACUGAAAUGUACUUAAAAAUACGUA
This 719-nucleotide long non-coding RNA is filed under the name Heterocephalus glaber (naked mole-rat). RNAcentral's name for it is "lncRNA (ENSHGLG00000043413.1)". Lineage: Eukaryota; Metazoa; Chordata; Mammalia; Rodentia; Bathyergidae. The record is from RNAcentral.